AACUUGGGUUCGCGCUCCGCUGGCGACCACCGCGCCCGGCCCAUCGGAGGCGAUCUGUUCCCGGGUCUCCCAAACUAGUUCCCGAAGCCAGACCCGCGGCGCUCGCAGUGCCGAAUUUUGGACGAGCUUUUUCGUUUCAUUUCCUCACUUUGCGUUGUAGUCGUCUCAAAGGGGCUGACUAUAUGUCAGAAAGCAUCAGCUUUUCUCGAUGGACCCAUUCAUCUAAUGAAAUAUGCCUGUACUAUUUUAAAAAGCUUUGUAUUUCAUCAUAGAAAAGUUCGUCCCCCCAGAAUGAAAAUGAGGACAUUUGAGAAGGUGAUUUAAGGUGUGGACAUUUGAGAAGGUGUCCUAUCAAAUUAGUAAACCAAAGGAAAAGUACUGAAUAGAUUAAUCCAAAACACUUACUGUUUUUUAAACGAAGAGGAUUUCACCUUGACAGAAAAACAACUUUUAUUCAAUAUGUAUUUCCUGAAAUUAAAGAGACAAGAACAGACUGAAAGGAAAAUAGAUUCGUAAAUAAGCUACGUCAACUCUAUCCU
Molecule: small RNA, 539 nt
Filed under: Pan troglodytes (chimpanzee)
Lineage: Eukaryota; Metazoa; Chordata; Mammalia; Primates; Hominidae
Description: processed transcript
Source: RNAcentral